This 253-nucleotide ribosomal RNA is filed under the name uncultured bacterium. Its description in RNAcentral is "partial 16S ribosomal RNA". It matches the Rfam family "Bacterial small subunit ribosomal RNA", at positions 524 to 776 of the family's 1533-position model. The record is from RNAcentral.
UACGUAGGGCGCAAGCGUUGUCCGGAAUUAUUGGGCGUAAAGAGCGCGUAGGCGGCCCGGUAAGUCCGCUGUAAAAGUCAAAGGCUCAACCUUUGAAUGUCAGUGGAUACUGCCGGGCUAGAGUCCGGAAGAGGCGAGUGGAAUUCCUGGUGUAGCGGUGGAAUGCGCAGAUAUCAGGAGGAACACCGACGGCGAAGGCAGCUCGCUGGGACGGUACUGACGCUGAGGCGCGAAAGCGUGGGGAGCGAACAGG